CUUUUGGUUCAAUUUUGUUGGUUUUCUGGACUGAAGUAAUGAUUAAUAGGGUCAGUUGGGGACAUUAGUAUUUAAUUGUCAGAGGUGAAAUUCUUAGAUUUAUGAAAGACUAACUUCUGCGAAAGCAUUUGUCAAGGAUGUUUUCAUUAAUCAAGAACGAAAGUUAGGGGAUCGAAGACGAUCAGAUACCGUCGUAGUCUUAACCAUAAACUAUGCCGACUAGGGAUCGGACGAUGUUCUUUUAUCGACUCGUUCGGCACCUUAUGAGAAAUCAAAGUUUUUGGGUUCCGGGGGGAGUAUGGUCGCAAGGCUGAAACUUAAAGGAAUUGACGGAAGGGCACCACCAGGAGUGGAGCCUGCGGCUUAAUUUGACUCAACACGGGGAAACUC
This 390-nucleotide ribosomal RNA is filed under the name fungal sp. RNAcentral describes it as "SSU rRNA". It matches the Rfam family "Eukaryotic small subunit ribosomal RNA", at positions 827 to 1216 of the family's 1831-position model. The record is from RNAcentral. Lineage: Eukaryota; Fungi.